UGGGGAAUAUUGCACAAUGGGCGCAAGCCUGAUGCAGCCAUGCCGCGUGUAUGAAGAAGGACUUCGGGUUGUAAAGUACUUUCAGCGGGGAGGAAGGGAGUAAAGUUAAUACCUUUGCUCAUUGACGUUACCCGCAGAAGAAGCACCGGCUAACUCCGUGCCAGCAGCCGCGGUAAUACGGAGGGUGCAAGCGUUAAUCGGAAUUACUGGGCGUAAAGCGCACGCAGGCGGUCUGUCAAGUCGGAUGUGAAAUCCCCGGGCUCAACCUGGGAACUGCAUUCGAAACUGGCAGGCUAGAGUCUUGUAGAGGGGGGUAGAAUUCCAGGUGUAGCGGUGAAAUGCGUAGAGAUCUGGAGGAAUACCGGUGGCGAAGGCGGCCCCCUGGACAAAGACUGACGCUCAGGUGCGAAAGCGUGGGGAGCAAACAGG
Molecule: ribosomal RNA, 429 nt
Filed under: Chloroflexota bacterium
Lineage: Bacteria; Bacillati; Chloroflexota
Description: Chloroflexi bacterium partial 16S ribosomal RNA
Rfam family: Bacterial small subunit ribosomal RNA
Source: RNAcentral